Molecule: long non-coding RNA, 1141 nt
Organism: Monodelphis domestica (gray short-tailed opossum)
Lineage: Eukaryota; Metazoa; Chordata; Mammalia; Didelphimorphia; Didelphidae
Source: RefSeq, a predicted model, not a curated record
GAAAUGAGAAAAGGGAAGGGGGAUGGGAAAUCCCUCCCAGUUAGGAUGCUAUAUAAACAAAUCCAGAAGAGGAAGAAGAAAAGGAAGCUAGGACGGUGCAGAAGGAGUCUUCGGAGAUUCUCAUCACUUGUCCCCGGAUAUGUCCGUGGAUUCGCAGUCACGGGCUCACUUAGGUUACUCCUGCGGCUGCAGGAUUAAAAACAUCCACUCUGGUCACCUCGUGGAUAAUAAGACCCUGGGCCAGAGGAAGCCAGGCAGGGAAGCUGCAUUUGUCUUCAUUCUCUUCUUCCAAGGCUGGGCCAUGGUGACAGCAGAGAGCCAGCGUAGAGAUCUAGGAGCCUAGCCGGAGAGCAGCUGAAGGUGGUGGUGGUGGUAGAGAGUGCUGGAGCAGCAGCAGCAACAGCAGCAGCAGAAAAGCAGCAUCGACAGAAAACAAGGAGUAGGAAAACAUCUUGGAAGAGGCACCAGGUUCCUAGAGCCUUCAGAGCCUUCGAAAACAGAAAAAUGAUCUUUGGGCUGGAAAGAAAAUAAUAAAAAUGUACAAGAAGUUGAAGCUCUGAGAACAUACAACUGCCUUCAUUGAGUUCAGGUUAUUGGACCAAGAAUACCGGCUCUUUGGUAGUAAGAAGUAUUUAAUUUUGUAUACUUGUUGUAUCCACAGCAUCUAACAGUCUCGGCCACUUGGGGCUAUCCACCUCCAAAGAGAAGAGAGAAGGCACAUCAUCACCCAAACCUGCCAUCACGUUUAUUUUAACUGAACCUCAACUGAACUGCUCUUUCAAAUACAACAGCAAAGAAUGAAACUUUUUUAUAUAAGAACAAACAAAGACUGCUAGAUCAGAUAGUUUAAUUGCAUUUAAUAAAUGUGAUCUUGAUUAAUUCUAGGGUUGAUUCAUUUAAUUUAAUGAUCAAUGUUUCAAGUUUUUGUGAUUGUUUAAGUUAGUGUUCUUCCUCCAGUAAGGAAGGUCAAUAUCCCUCUAGGCCUUAGUAAGUUGUUUUUAUAUGUUUUGGUGGUUUGUUUCUGUGCCUCUUAAGAACUCUGGUUCCCUUCAAGACUGUGAAAGAUCCUCCUUUAAUCCUUUCCUUGUCAGCUGUAAAAAUUAAAAUUAAUGUCAAAUAAUAAAAAUGUUAUAUUUCAGGA